Molecule: long non-coding RNA, 546 nt
Filed under: Lepisosteus oculatus (spotted gar)
Lineage: Eukaryota; Metazoa; Chordata; Actinopteri; Semionotiformes; Lepisosteidae
Description: lncRNA (ENSLOCG00000021486.1)
Source: RNAcentral
CCCUUGUAACUGAAUCCCCAGCUGUCCUUCAGGAGCCGAGCCCGCCUCCAGAGUGACCUUCCUCAGCGGACACGCCCCGUCCACCUGUUCCACAGGUGCGCCCGGCAAGAUGGCGGCGGGACGAGUUUCUGCGGCGUUAGGUGACAAAAGGAUUUAAAGAAGGGGCCUCCUGUUAUAAAAAGGGUUUUUCAAAGUUCUGCGGCUCCUGCUCCUCUGCGCUCCGACGAUCUCCUCUCCAGCAACUCCUUGUGCGUUGGCAAGUUACUCUUGACAGUGACAAAGGAUUUCAAGAACGCGCCUGCAGUUAUGAAAGUUGUUUUUCCCCCGGGUUCUGCGGCUCCUGCUCCUCGGCGAUCCGAAGAUCUCCUCUCCAGCUCCGCUCCAGCAACUCUUUGUUCGUUGGCAAGUUAUUCUUGACUAUGUGCUUUUCCUUGAAUUUCAUUUUUUGACUCCAGUGGCUUGAUCUGUAAUGUACCGACUCAUCUUUCCCUUGAUGUAUUGACAUUCUUAACUUGCAUGUUUCCUGCUGACUGCUGCUACUGUUUG